Molecule: ribosomal RNA, 497 nt
Filed under: uncultured bacterium
Lineage: Bacteria
Description: partial 16S ribosomal RNA
Rfam family: Bacterial small subunit ribosomal RNA
Source: RNAcentral
GAUGAACGCUGGCGGCGUGCCUAAUACAUGCAAGUCGAGCGGACGGACGAGGAGCUUGCGUCGCUGAUGUUAGCGGCGGACGGGUGUGUCACGCGUGGAUCACCUACCUAUAAGACUGGGAUAAUUUGGGGAAACCGGAGCUAAUAGCGGAUAAUAUUUUGAACCGCAUGGUUCAAAAGUGAAAGACGGUCUUGCUGGCACGUAUAGAUGGAUCCGCGCUGCAUUAGCUAGUUGGUAAGGUAACGGCUUACCAAGGCGACGAUGCAUAAGCGAGGUGAGAGGGUGAUCGGCCACCCUGGAGCUGAGACACGGUCCAGAGGCCUACGGGAGGCAGCAGUAGGGAAUCUUCGGCAGUGGGCGGGAGCCUGGCGGAGCGGGGCCGCGUGAGUGAUGAAGGUCUUCGGAUCGUAAAACUCUGUUAUUAGUGAAGAACAUAUGUGUAAGGAACUGUGCACAUCUUGACGGUACCUAGUCAGAAAGCCACGGCUAACUACGUG